UAGGCGUAAAUGAUGCGAGUUAAGUGUGGGGGCAUCUACGAGAUGGCCCUGUGCUGUAGGGUAGCCGUUAAACUCGCUGCCUGGGGAGUACGGUCGCAAGGCUGAAACUUAAAGGAAUUGGCGGGGGGAGGCACCACAAGAGGUGGAGGCUGCGGUUCAAUUGGACUCAACGCCGGAAACUCAUCGGGAGCGACAGCAGUAUGAUUGCCAGGUUGAUGACCUUGCUUGACAAGCUGAGAGGUGGUGCAUGGCGUAGUCGUGU
RNAcentral lists this ribosomal RNA (262 nucleotides) under uncultured archaeon. RNAcentral's name for it is "partial 16S ribosomal RNA". It matches the Rfam family "Archaeal small subunit ribosomal RNA", at positions 748 to 1009 of the family's 1478-position model. The record is from RNAcentral.